CACGGGUUUUACCUCAGUACGGCGAGUGAAGCGGUAAAAGCUCAAAUUUGAAAUCUGGCUCUUUCAGAGUCCGAGUUGUAAUUUGUAGAAGAUGCUUCGGGUGUGGUUCCGGUCUAAGUUCCUUGGAACAGGACGUCAUAGAGGGUGAGAAUCCCGUAUGUGACUGGAUACCUAUGCUCAUGUGAAGCUCUUUCGACGAGUCGAGUUGUUUGGGAAUGCAGCUCAAAAUGGGUGGUAUAUUUCAUCUAAAGCUAAAUAUUGGCCAGAGACCGAUAGCGCACAAGUAGAGUGAUCGAAAGAUGAAAAGCACUUUGGAAAGAGAGUUAAACAGUACGUGAAAUUGUUGAAAGGGAAGCGCUUGCAAUCAGACUUGCACUUGGUGUUCAUCAGGGUUUCGUGCCCUGUGUACUUCAUCAAGUUCAGGCCAGCAUCAGUUUGAGUGGUUAGAUAAAGGCUUGGAGAACGUGGCCCUCUUCGGGGGGUGUUAUAGCUCCAGGUGCAAUGUAGCCUACUUGGACUGAGGACCGCGCUUCGGCUAGGAUGCUGGCGUAAUGGUUGUAAGCGACCCGUCUUGAA
This 576-nucleotide ribosomal RNA is filed under the name Sclerotinia nivalis. Its description in RNAcentral is "LSU rRNA". It matches the Rfam family "Eukaryotic large subunit ribosomal RNA", at positions 67 to 658 of the family's 3401-position model. The record is from RNAcentral. Lineage: Eukaryota; Fungi; Ascomycota; Leotiomycetes; Helotiales; Sclerotiniaceae.